AUCUCUAGACCAUUCGACUCAUAGUGGUGUUCUGGAAGGUGUGGGUUAUGAAACUUCUUCUUCUCCUCCUCCUCCUUCUCCUUCUUCUCCUUCUUCUUGUUCUUCUUGUCCUCCUCCUCCUCCUUCUUCUUCUCCUUGUCCCCCUUCUUCUUCUUCUUCUCCUCCUCCUCCUCCUCCUUCUUCUUCUUAUUCUUCUUCUUCUUCUU
This 206-nucleotide long non-coding RNA is filed under the name Hordeum vulgare. RNAcentral describes it as "long non-coding RNA (HVUL_LNC011747)". The record is from RNAcentral. Lineage: Eukaryota; Viridiplantae; Streptophyta; Magnoliopsida; Poales; Poaceae.